GUGUUGUAUAAAAAGAGAGGUUAGCAUUCCCCUUGAUAAAGAUGUAAGAGGUUCUACUGGCCUUUACAAUAUACAUAUGGUUAAGGCACUGUCACCUACUCUGUGGCAUCUAAGCAUUUUUC
Monodelphis domestica (gray short-tailed opossum) is the source of this 122-nucleotide small nuclear RNA. NCBI's taxonomy places the organism in Eukaryota, Metazoa, Chordata, Mammalia, Didelphimorphia, Didelphidae. The record is from Ensembl.